GGCCCCGUGGCGGAAUGGUAGACGCAGGAGAUUUAAAAUCCCCUGUCCGGAAGGACGUCUGGGUUCGAGUCCCAGCGGGGCCA
RNAcentral lists this transfer RNA (83 nucleotides) under Polyangium spumosum. It matches the Rfam family "tRNA". Rfam says of the family: Transfer RNA (tRNA) molecules are approximately 80 nucleotides in length. Their secondary structure includes four short double-helical elements and three loops (D, anti-codon, and T loops). The record is from Rfam by way of RNAcentral. Lineage: Bacteria; Pseudomonadati; Myxococcota; Polyangiales; Polyangiaceae.